CCUACGGGAGGCAGCAGUAGGGAAUAUUGCUCAAUGGGGGAAACCCUGAAGCAGCAACGCCGCGUGGAGGAUGAAGGCUCUCGGAUUGUAAACUCCUUUUGUUAGAGAAGAUAAUGACGGUAUCUAACGAAUAAGCACCGGCUAACUACGUGCAAGCAGCCGCGGUAAUACGGAGGGUGCAAGCGUUACUCGGAAUCACUGGGCGUAAAGGGCGCGUAGGCGGGUUAGCAAGUCAGAUGUGAAAUCCUAUGGCUUAACCAUAGAACUGCAUUUGAAACUGUUAGUCUAGAGUAUGGGAGAGGUAGGUGGAAUUCUUGGUGUAGGGGUAAAAUGCGUAGAGAUCAAGAAGAAUACUCAUUGCGAAGGCGACCUGCUAGAACAUAACUGACGCUGAUGCGCGAAAGCGUGGGGAGCAAACAGGAUUAGAUACCCUUGUAGUC
Molecule: ribosomal RNA, 440 nt
Filed under: uncultured bacterium
Lineage: Bacteria
Description: partial 16S ribosomal RNA
Rfam family: Bacterial small subunit ribosomal RNA
Source: RNAcentral